UCUAUUUCAGAACUAAGACGC
RNAcentral lists this non-coding RNA (21 nucleotides) under Caenorhabditis elegans. The record is from RNAcentral. Lineage: Eukaryota; Metazoa; Nematoda; Chromadorea; Rhabditida; Rhabditidae.